AGCGUUCUGUAAGCCUGUGAAGGUGUGUCGUGAGGCAUGCUGGAGGUAUCAGAAGUGCGAAUGCUGACAUAAGUAACGAUAAAGCGGGUGAAAAGCCCGCUCGCCGGAAGACCAAGGGUUCCUGUCCAACGUUAAUCGGGGCAGGGUGAGUCGACCCCUAAGGCGAGGCCGAAAGGCGUAGUCGAUGGGAAACGGGUUAAUAUUCCCGUACUUGGUGUUACUGCGAAGGGGGGACGGAGAAGGCUAUGUUGGCCGGGCGACGGUUGUCCCGGUUUAAGCGUGUAGGUGUGUGUUCCAGGUAAAUCCGGUUCACUUUAACACUGAGGCGUGACGACGAGGCACUACGGUGCUGAAGCAACAAAUGCCCUGCUUCCAGGAAAAGCCUCUAAGCAUCAGGUAACAUCAAAUCGUACCCCAAACCGACACAGGUGGUCAGGUAGAGAAUACCAAGGCGCUUGAGAGAACUCGGGUGAAGGAACUAGGCAAAAUGGUGCCGUAACUUCGGGAGAAGGCACGCUGACACGUAGGUGAAGUGAUUUACUCAUGGAGCUGAAGUCAGUCGAAGAUACCAGCUGGCUGCAACUGUUUAUUAAAAACACAGCACUGUGCAAACACGAAAGUGGACGUAUACGGUGUGACGCCUGCCCGGUGCCGGAAGGUUAAUUGAUGGGGUCAGCGCAAGCGAAGCUCCUGAUCGAAGCCCCGGUAAACGGCGGCCGUAACUAUAACGGUCCUAAGGUAGCGAAAUUCCUUGUCGGGUAAGUUCCGACCUGCACGAAUGGCGUAAUGAUGGCCAGGCUGUCUCCACCCGAGACUCAGUGAAAUUGAACUCGCUGUGAAGAUGCAGUGUACCCGCGGCAAGACGGAAAGACCCCGUGAACCUUUACUAUAGCUUGACACUGAACAUUGAGCCUUGAUGUGUAGGAUAGGUGGGAGGCUUUGAAGUGUGGACGCCAGUCUGCAUGGAGCCGACCUUGAAAUACCACCCUUUAAUGUUUGAUGUUCUAACGUGGACCCGUUACCCGGGUUGCGGACAGUGUCUGGUGGGUAGUUUGACUGGGGCGGUCUCCUCCUAAAGAGUAACGGAGGAGCACGAAGGUUGGCUAAUCCUGGUCGGACAUCAGGAGGUUAGUGCAAUGGCAUAAGCCAGCUUGACUGCGAGCGUGACGGCGCGAGCAGGUGCGAAAGCAGGUCAUAGUGAUCCGGUGGUUCUGAAUGGAAGGGCCAUCGCUCAACGGAUAAAAGGUACUCCGGGGAUAACAGGCUGAUACCGCCCAAGAGUUCAUAUCGACGGCGGUGUUUGGCACCUCGAUGUCGGCUCAUCACAUCCUGGGGCUGAAGUAGGUCCCAAGGGUAUGGCUGUUCGCCAUUUAAAGUGGUACGCGAGCUGGGUUUAGAACGUCGUGAGACAGUUCGGUCCCUAUCUGCCGUGGGCGCUGGAGAACUGAGGGGGGCUGCUCCUAGUACGAGAGGACCGGAGUGGACGCAUCACUGGUGUUCGGGUUGUCAUGCCAAUGGCACUGCCCGGUAGCUAAAUGCGGAAGAGAUAAGUGCUGAAAGCAUCUAAGCACGAAACUUGCCCCGA
Molecule: ribosomal RNA, 1585 nt
Filed under: Salmonella enterica
Lineage: Bacteria; Pseudomonadati; Pseudomonadota; Gammaproteobacteria; Enterobacterales; Enterobacteriaceae
Also listed under: 1 other name
Description: partial 23S ribosomal RNA
Rfam family: Bacterial large subunit ribosomal RNA
Source: RNAcentral